This is a long non-coding RNA of Gallus gallus (chicken), 347 nucleotides long. Lineage: Eukaryota; Metazoa; Chordata; Aves; Galliformes; Phasianidae. The record is from Ensembl.
GUGUUUGCAAACAUUCUUCUGCAUUCUGAGCAGCUGCUCCAUUCAUUCAUGUUUUUGUUGCUUUUUGUUUACUAUUCAUGAACAUCUGGACUAUUAAGAUUCUGCACAAAUGUUUGAAGAAUUGCGGUUUUCUAUAUUAAUACCUGCAUAGCCAUCGUGAAGAGGGUUUAUAUCCUGAUGGGUGCCAGAUGACAGACUCCUCCACAUUUCAAUCCUGAUACAAGCAUGCAGAAAGAUGUGAGAGUUGGAACUAGAGGCAAACACAGCUGCAACUUCCAAAAUAAAUUCUUUGCCCACACUGGCACAACAUUCACUGACCUGCAACCACUUAAACCAGCCAAUACUCA